GGGGUUCGGGCCCCCCUUUGGGCGCCA
Molecule: unclassified non-coding RNA, 27 nt
Filed under: Dictyostelium discoideum
Lineage: Eukaryota; Evosea; Eumycetozoa; Dictyosteliales; Dictyosteliaceae
Source: RNAcentral